Molecule: ribosomal RNA, 84 nt
Filed under: Crataegus castlegarensis
Lineage: Eukaryota; Viridiplantae; Streptophyta; Magnoliopsida; Rosales; Rosaceae
Description: partial 5.8S ribosomal RNA
Rfam family: 5.8S ribosomal RNA
About the family: 5.8S ribosomal RNA (5.8S rRNA) is a component of the large subunit of the eukaryotic ribosome. It is transcribed by RNA polymerase I as part of the 45S precursor that also contains 18S and 28S rRNA.
Source: RNAcentral
UGUAGAAUCCCGUGAACCAUUGAGUCUUUGAACGCAAGUUGCGCCCGAAGCCUUUAGGCCGAGGGCACGCCUGCCUGGGCGUCA